GUGAACGCUGGCGGUAGGCCUAACACAUGCAAGUCGAACGGCAGCACAGUAAGAGCUUGCUCUUACGGGUGGCGAGUGGCGGACGGGUGAGGAAUACAUCGGAAUCUACUUUUUCGUGGGGGAUAACGUAGGGAAACUUACGCUAAUACCGCAUACGACCUACGGUUGAAAGCAGGGGAUCUUCGGACCUUGCGCGAUUGAAUGAGCCGAUGUCGGAUUAGCUAGUUGGCGGGGUAAAGGCCCACCAAGGCGACGAUCCGUAGCUGGUCUGAGAGGAUGAUCAGCCACACUGGAACUGAGACACGGUCCAGACUCCUACGGGAGGCAGCAGUGGGGAAUAUUGGACAAUGGGCGCAAGCCUGAUCCAGCCAUACCGCGUGGGUGAAGAAGGCCUUCGGGUUGUAAAGCCCUUUUGUUGGGAAAGAAAAGCAGCAGGUUAAUACCCCGCUGUUCUGACGGUACCCAAAGAAUAAGCACCGGCUAACUUCGUG
Molecule: ribosomal RNA, 491 nt
Filed under: uncultured bacterium
Lineage: Bacteria
Description: partial 16S ribosomal RNA
Rfam family: Bacterial small subunit ribosomal RNA
Source: RNAcentral